AUGAACGCUGGCGGCGUGCCUAAUACAUGCAAGUCGAGCGAACAGACGAGGAGCUUGCUCCUCUGACGUUAGCGGCGGACGGGUGAGUAACACGUGGAUAACCUACCUAUAAGACUGGGAUAACUUCGGGAAACCGGAGCUAAUACCGGAUAAUAUAUCGAACCGCAUGGUUCAAUAGUGAAAGACGGUUUUGCUGUCACUUAUAGAUGGAUCCGCGCCGCAUUAGCUAGUUGGUAAGGUAACGGCUUACCAAGGCAACGAUGCGUAGCCGACCUGAGAGGGUGAUCGGCCACACUGGAACUGAGACACGGUCCAGACUCCUACGGGAGGCAGCAGUAGGGAAUCUUCCGCAAAGGGCGAAAGCUUGACGGAGCAACGCCGCGUGAGUGAUGAAGGUCUUCGGAUCGUAAAACUCUGUUAUUAGGGAAGAACAAAUGUGUAAGUAACUAUGCACGUCUUGACGGUACCUAAUCAGAAAGCCACGGCUAACUACGUG
This 496-nucleotide ribosomal RNA is filed under the name uncultured bacterium. RNAcentral's name for it is "partial 16S ribosomal RNA". It matches the Rfam family "Bacterial small subunit ribosomal RNA", at positions 29 to 507 of the family's 1533-position model. The record is from RNAcentral.